UUUGCUCCUGAGAUCGGGUGAGGCCAUCCGCCGAAUUUAAGCAUAUAAUUAAGCGGCAGAAAAAAAAUAACCAUGAUUCCCUU
Molecule: ribosomal RNA, 83 nt
Filed under: Babesia bigemina
Lineage: Eukaryota; Apicomplexa; Aconoidasida; Piroplasmida; Babesiidae
Description: partial 28S ribosomal RNA
Rfam family: Eukaryotic large subunit ribosomal RNA
Source: RNAcentral